GAUGAACGCUGGCGGCGUGCUUAACACAUGCAAGUCGAGCGGAGUUGCUUAAAGGAAGUUUUCGGAUGGAAUUUAAGCAACUCAGCGGCGGACGGGUGAGUAACGCGUGGGUAACCUGCCUCAUACAGGGGGAUAACAGUUAGAAAUGACUGCUAAUACCGCAUAAGCGCACAGUGCUGCAUAGCACAGCGUGAAAAACUCCGGUGGUAUGAGAUGGACCAGCGUCUGAUUAGGUAGUUGGUGAGGUAACGGCCCACCAAGCCGACGAUCAGUAGCCGACCUGAGAGGGUGACCGGCCACAUUGGGACUGAGACACGGCCCAAACUCCUACGGGAGGCAGCAGUGGGGAAUAUUGGACAAUGGGGGAAACCCUGAUCCAGCGACGCCGCGUGAGUGAAGAAGUAUUUCGGUAUGUAAAGCUCUAUCAGCAGGGAAGAAAAUGACGGUACCUGACUAAGAAGCCCCGGCUAACUACGUGCCAGCAGCCGCAGUAA
RNAcentral lists this ribosomal RNA (494 nucleotides) under uncultured bacterium. RNAcentral's name for it is "partial 16S ribosomal RNA". It matches the Rfam family "Bacterial small subunit ribosomal RNA", at positions 28 to 523 of the family's 1533-position model. The record is from RNAcentral.